Molecule: long non-coding RNA, 561 nt
Organism: Rhincodon typus (whale shark)
Lineage: Eukaryota; Metazoa; Chordata; Chondrichthyes; Orectolobiformes; Rhincodontidae
Exons: 3
Source: RefSeq, a predicted model, not a curated record
CCAGUCAGUAUGUGGGAAGCACUGAGGACAUGAUGAGAGUUUGAGAUUGUGGAUAUCACAAUAAUUCAGAUAUUUGACAGAGAAUUUCCAUGAGUUAGUAUUCUGUUUUGCCAGGUUACUUGCUAAGGGUGACAUACUCAACACCCAAAAGGUGCUGGGCUCUAAACAGCUGCAGAAUCCACAAUUAACAGAUCUCCUUGCCACUGCAGUGUAAUCUUGGAGAACUGAAGGUACUCCCGGAUACCUGGACAGUCAGAUUCCCUCCAAAAGGAAUGCUGUCACCAAAUUCUGCCUAAGAAAGGAAAAGGAUAACGCUAAUACGCUGGGACAAGUGUUUCGAAAGUGAACAACAUGGCAAACAAAGGAUCCUACGAUCUCCAGAAGGCCAGAAAGGAUCCUUAUUCUCCCAGAGCCAUUAGAGGGUACUUCAGUGAAGAAGAGACAGAUGACUUGGACAGAACUUUGGAAGUGGCAAGUUUUGAGGAUGUUGACUUUGACCCUACAGAGAAUAGAUGGAAUGAUGAUGAUGAUGAUAGUAAUUCCGAUUGUGAGUAGACCAUA